Helianthus annuus (common sunflower) is the source of this 2543-nucleotide RNA transcript. RefSeq lists it as uncharacterized. NCBI's taxonomy places the organism in Eukaryota, Viridiplantae, Streptophyta, Magnoliopsida, Asterales, Asteraceae. The record is from RefSeq and is a predicted model, not a curated record. The transcript has 2 exons.
ACGUAUGACAAAAUACUAUGGUAAAAUACCAAAACCAAGUAUGGAGACUUCAUCAAACCCGUCAAAUACUAACGAAACUAAUAAAAGAAGUCGAGAAGAAGUUGAAUUAUCUGAAGAGGAAAUAGUCGGUGACCCGGCUUUGCAAAAACCAAUUAAUGAUUAUUCGGUUAAUAUUCGAGAGGAAGUAAGAAGACGGUACAUAACGAAAGGCGCUUGUCAACCAAAAGGUCAAAUCUUCCCUACAACGAAAAUUUGUGGACAUAUGAGAAAGUUUCAUGAAACGUGGUUUGGCGACUUUGAUUGGUUAGAAUAUAGUGCAUCAAAAGAUGCUGCAUUUUGUUUAUGGUGUUAUUUAUUCCCCACGGGAAAUAAACAUGGGGAUGAUGUCUUUAUAAACCAUGGUUUUAGAAACUGGAAAAAGGCAUGUGAAAGUUUUCGUGACCAUGAAGGGGGUUCGAACAGUAGACAUAAUCAUGCUAGAGUUCAGUUCGAGUUAUUCAAAGAUCAAAGUCAUAAUGUAAACAAUAUGUGGUCACAACACACUAAGCAAGAUGAGAUUGAUUAUCGUAUUCGGUUAACCGCUGUUGUUGAUGUUAUUCGAUUCCUUUUAAAACAAGGUUUGGCAUUUCGCGGGCAUGACGAGUCUACCACUUCUAAUAAUCGAGGUAAUUUUCUUGAACUUGUAAAAUGGCAUUGUGAGCAUAAUGAUGAAGUAAAUAAGGUGUUGAAUUUAAAAGUUCCUGGAAAUCAUCAGUUGACUUCACCUAAAAUUCAAAAGGAAAUAGUUAAUGCAUGUGCUACGGAGGUAAGAAACAUUAUUGUGAAUGAGGUUAAAGGGAAGUUCUUUUCUAUUUUGAUUGAUGAGUCUCGUGAUUGUUCUAUAAAGGAGCAAAUGGCAAUGGUUUUGAGAUAUGUGGAUGAUGGUGGAGAAGUGAUUGAACGAUUUGUUGGGGUAGUGCAUGUUACCGACACUUGUGCAUCAUCUUUAAAAAGUGCUAUUGACAACUUCUUUGCAAAACAUGGUUUAACUAUGUCUAGAGUUAGAGGUCAAGGUUAUGAUGGAGCUUCAAAUAUGCGUGGCGAGCUAAAUGGGUUAAAAUAAAAAAUUUUAGAUGAAAAUAAGUAUGCGUUUUAUAUUCAUUGUUUUGCUCAUCAGUUGCAGUUAGUAGUGGUAGCUACAUCAUCCGAAGAUGCAUCUGUAAGUUGUUUUUUGAUUACCUUGGGAUAAUUGUAAAUAUUGUUGGAUCUUCAUGUAAAAGGAAAGAUUCGAUUAGGCAAAAACAAUAUGACGAUUUUGUUAAACGUAUCGAGAUGGGUGAAGUUUGUACAGGAAAAGGAAAAAACCAAGAAAUGAGUUUAGUCCGAGCUGGUGACACUCGUUGGGGUUCGCAUCUUAAAACUAUACAUCGGCUUUUAGACUUGUGGAAACCAGUGAAAGAAGUACUUAUUGCUUUGUCUAGAGAGGGUCCAGAUAGAAAAACUAAGGGAACUGCGCUUAGUAUGGCUGAGAAAAUGGAAAACUUUGAAUUUGUUUUUAUUGCUCAUUUAAUGUUGAAUUUAUUAAGAAAGACAAAUGACUUGUCACAAGCCCUACAGCUAAAGAAUCAAAAUAUUUGUAGCGCUGUUCGAUUGAUUGAAGAUACGAAAUAUGAUAUAAAGAAAUAUAGGGACGAUGGAUGGGAGGAGUUAAUAAAAGAAGUCUCUAUAUUCUGUGCUCAAAAUGAAAUUCAUAUGCCUAAUAUGGAAGACAUCAUUCCAGGACGAGUUAGAAGGACAAUUGAUGAUGAACCACAAACAUAUCUCCACCGUUUUCGUGUUGAUAUUUUUUAUCAGGUUGUUGAUCUUCUUCUUAAUGAAAUGAAUGAGCGUUUUACUAAGUCUAACUCGGAGUUGCUUACGUGUAUUGCGUGCCUUGAUCCUAGAGAUUCAUUUCAAUCUUUUGACCGUGAGAAGUUAUUACGGCUUGCCGAGUUAUAUUCAGAAGAUUUUACUCAAUUUGAUCUUGGUCAACUAAAGAUACAACUAGAUCGGUAUAUUUCAAAUAUAAGAAGUAAUGAAGCGUUUUCUGGUCUUCAAGAUAUUGGACAACUUGCAAAGAAAAUGGUCCACAUGAAGUAUCAUAUUACUUAUGCACUCGUCUAUCGACUACUUGAGUUGGCAUUGGUCUUGCCUGUUGCAACCGCUACUGUCGAAAGAUCUUUUUCCGCAAUGAAGUUUAUCAAGACGGAUUUACGCAAUAAGAUGGGUGAUAUGUUUCUCACAGAUGCAUUGGUGUGCUAUGUCGAGAAAGAUAUUUUUGAUAGUGUUGAAAUUGAAGCAAUUUUGCAAAGGUUUCAAAAUAUGGGACCCCGUAGAUUACAAUUACCAGCUGUUAAAAAAAAUAAUUGGUGUAUGCUAUGAAUUAUGAAUAAAGUUAUUUUUUUCUAUUACGACCCCCCGGUUAAGAAUUUCUAGUUCCGCCACUGACAGGAAUGGUCGUUUGACUAGGCAUACAUGGUUAGAGGACUCGUGCUCGACAAAAUAAGAGGAAAUAUACUGAAGGU